This 785-nucleotide ribosomal RNA is filed under the name uncultured soil bacterium. RNAcentral describes it as "bacterial SSU rRNA". It matches the Rfam family "Bacterial small subunit ribosomal RNA", at positions 9 to 789 of the family's 1533-position model. The record is from RNAcentral.
GAGUUUGAUCCUGGCUCAGGAUGAACGCUGGCGGCGUGCCUAAUACAUGCAAGUCGAACGAAGAUCUAGCUUGCUAGAUCUUAGUGGCGAACGGGUGAGUAAUACAUAAAAAUCUGCCCAUUGGACUGGGAUAACUAUUGGAAACGAUAGCUAAUACCGGAUAGGUGAUUUGAAGGCAUCUUCGAAUCAUUAAAGUAGGGUCACUACACCAAUGGAUGAGUUUAUGGCGCAUUAGUUAGUUGGCGGGUAACGGCCCACCAAGACGAUGAUGCGUAGCCGACCUGAGAGGGUGACCGGCCACACUGGGACUGAGACACGGCCCAGACUCCUACGGGAGGCAGCAGUAGGGAAUUUUCGGCAAUGGGCGCAAGCCUGACCGAGCAACGCCGCGUGAGUGAUUAAGGCCUUCGGGUUGUAAAGCUCUGUUGUAAGGGAAGAACAUUCAGGAUAGGAAAUGAUCUUGAACUGACGGUACCUUACCAGAAAGCCACGGCUAACUACGUGCCAGCAGCCGCGGUAAUACGUAGGUGGCAAGCGUUAUCCGGAAUUAUUGGGCGUAAAGGGUGCGUAGGCGGUUUAUUAAGUCUAUGGUGAAAGUGCGGGGCUCAACCCCGUAUGGCCAUAGAAACUGAUAGACUUGAGUGCAGGAGAGGGCAAUGGAAUUCCAUGUGUAGCGGUAAAAUGCGUAGAUAUAUGGAGGAACACCAGUGGCGAAGGCGGUUGCCUGGCCUGUAACUGACGCUGAGGCACGAAAGCGUGGGGAGCAAAUAGGAUUAGAUACCCUA